GACGAACGCUGGCGGCGUGCUUAACACAUGCAAGUCGAACGGAAAGGCCCUGCUUGCAGGGUACGCGAGUGGCGAAAGGGUGAGUAAAACGUGGGUGUUCUGCCCUGCACUUCGGGAUAAGCCUGGGAAACUGGGUCUAAUACAGGAUAGGAGACAUCUUGCGUGUGAUGGGUGGAAAGUUUUUUCGGUGUAGGAUGAGAUCGCGGCCUAUCUGCUUGGUGGUGGGGUAAUGGCCUACCAAGGCGGCCGCGGGUAGGCGGCCUGAGAGGGUGGACGGCCACAUUUGGGCUGGGAUACGGGCCAGGCUCCGACGGGGGGCAGCAGUGGGGAAAAUUGGACAAAGGGCGGAAGCCUGAAGCAGCGACGCCGCGGGGGGGAUGACGGCCUUCGGGUUUGUAACUCGUUUCGCUAUGUACGAAAGUGUUUGUGACGGUACUGAGUUAAGAAGCACCGGCUAACUACGUG
RNAcentral lists this ribosomal RNA (465 nucleotides) under uncultured bacterium. RNAcentral describes it as "partial 16S ribosomal RNA". It matches the Rfam family "Bacterial small subunit ribosomal RNA", at positions 28 to 507 of the family's 1533-position model. The record is from RNAcentral.